GAUGAACGCUGGCGGCGUGCCUAAUACAUGCAAGUCGAGCGAACAGACGCGGAGCUUGCUCCUCUGACGUUAGCGGCGGACGGGUGAGUAACAAGUGGAUAACCUACCUAUCAGACUGGGAUAACUUCGGGAAACCGGAGCUAAUACCGGAUAAUAUAUUGAAUCGCAUGGUUCAAUAGUGAAAGACGGUUUUGCUGUCACUUAUAGAUGGAUCCGCGCCGCAUUAGCUAGUUGGUAAGGUAACGGCUUACCAAGGCAACGAUGCGUAGCCGACCUGAGAGGGUGAUCGACCACACUGGAACUGAGACACGGUCCAGACUCCUACGGGAGGCAGCAGUAGGGAAUCUUACGCAAUGGGGGAAAGCCUGACGGAGCAACGCCGCGUGAGGGAUGAAGGUCUUCUGAUCGUAAAACUCUGUUAUUAGGGAAGAACAAAUGUGUAAGUAACUAUGCACGUCUUGACGGUACCUAAUCAGAAAGCCACGGCUAACUACGUG
RNAcentral lists this ribosomal RNA (497 nucleotides) under uncultured bacterium. RNAcentral describes it as "partial 16S ribosomal RNA". It matches the Rfam family "Bacterial small subunit ribosomal RNA", at positions 28 to 507 of the family's 1533-position model. The record is from RNAcentral.